GAUAGCUUGUUGAGCUGUGAAGCACAUUGAGCAGAGUCUGAAAUUCUUCCUCACUAUGGG
This 60-nucleotide long non-coding RNA is filed under the name Pan troglodytes (chimpanzee). RNAcentral describes it as "lincRNA". Lineage: Eukaryota; Metazoa; Chordata; Mammalia; Primates; Hominidae. The record is from RNAcentral.